Molecule: small nuclear RNA, 103 nt
Organism: Nannospalax galili (Upper Galilee mountains blind mole rat)
Lineage: Eukaryota; Metazoa; Chordata; Mammalia; Rodentia; Spalacidae
Source: Ensembl
GUGUUCACUGCAGUAGCACAUAUAAUAAAAUUGGAAUGAUACAAUAUUUGCAUGAACCCUCUACAAGGAUAACAGGCAAACCUGUGAAACAAACCAUAGUAAG